GAAUAAUGACUUCGGUUGUUAUUUAGUGGCGGAAGGGUUAGUAAUACAUAGAUAAUCUGUCCUCAACUUGGGAAUAACGGUUGGAAACGACCGCUAAUACCGAAUGUAGUAUGUUUAGGCAUCUAAAACAUAUUAAAGAAGGGGAUCUUCGGACCUUUCGGUUAAGGGAGAGUCUAUGGGAUAUCAGCUUGUUGGUGGGGUAAUGGCCUACCAAGGCUUUGACGUCUAGGCRGAUUGA
Molecule: ribosomal RNA, 238 nt
Filed under: uncultured Chlamydia sp.
Lineage: Bacteria; Pseudomonadati; Chlamydiota; Chlamydiia; Chlamydiales; Chlamydiaceae
Description: partial 16S ribosomal RNA
Source: RNAcentral